RNAcentral lists this ribosomal RNA (564 nucleotides) under uncultured organism. RNAcentral describes it as "bacterial SSU rRNA". It matches the Rfam family "Bacterial small subunit ribosomal RNA", at positions 854 to 1429 of the family's 1533-position model. The record is from RNAcentral.
AACCCGUUAAGCAAGCCGCCUGGGGAUUACGGCCGCAAGGCUAAAACUCAAAGGAAUUGGCGGGGAGGCACACAACCAGUGGAACAUGUGGUUCAAUUCGAAACAAACCGAAGCACCUCACCGGGGUUUGACAUGCAAUUGCUAAUCCUAUGAAAGUAGGACUCCUUCGAGGGUAUUGCACAGGUGCUGCAUGGCUGUCGUCAGUUCGUUCCGUGAGGAGUGCCCUUAAGUGGGACAACGAACGCAACCCCCAUCGUAUGUUACAAGUGUCAUACGAAACUGCCCCCGAGUUCUCGGGGGAGGAAGGAGGGGCAGACGUCAAGUCAGCAUGGUCCUUACGCCCCGGGCUACACACAUGUUACAAUGGACAAUAACAAUGGGCAGCAAACCGGCGACGGUAAGCUAAUCUCAGAAAUUUGUCCUCAGUGGGGAUUGUAGUCUGCAAUUCGACUACAUGAACGCGGAAUUGGUAGUAAUCGCGGAUCAGCUAUGCCGCGGUGAUACGUUCUUGCCUCUUGCACACACCGCCCGUCAAGCCAACAAAGUCGGCAUUAUCUGAACCUC